GACGAACGCUGGCGGCGUGCUUAACACAUGCAAGUCGAACGGAAAGGCCCUGCAUUUGUGGGAUGCUCGAGUGGCGAACGGGUGAGUAACACGUGAGUAACCUGCCCUUGACUUUGGGAUAACUUCAGGAAACUGGGGCUAAUACCGGAUAUGAGCUCCUGAUGCAUGGUGGGGGUUGGAAAGUUUCGGCGGUUGGGGAUGGACUCGGGGCUUAUCAGCUUGUUGGUGGGGUAGUGGCUUACCAAGGCUUUGACGGGUAGCCGGCCUGAGAGGGUGACCGGCCACAUUGGGACUGAGAUACGGCCCAGACUCCUACGGGAGGCAGCAGUGGGGAAUCGUGCACAAUGGGCGGAAGCCUGAUGCAGCGACGCCGCGUGCGGGAUGACGGCCUUCGGGUUGUAAACCGCUUUCGCCUGUGACGAAGCGUGAGUGACGGUAAUGGGUAAAGAAGCACCGGCUAACUACGUG
Molecule: ribosomal RNA, 468 nt
Filed under: uncultured bacterium
Lineage: Bacteria
Description: partial 16S ribosomal RNA
Rfam family: Bacterial small subunit ribosomal RNA
Source: RNAcentral